This 492-nucleotide ribosomal RNA is filed under the name uncultured bacterium. RNAcentral describes it as "partial 16S ribosomal RNA". It matches the Rfam family "Bacterial small subunit ribosomal RNA", at positions 29 to 507 of the family's 1533-position model. The record is from RNAcentral.
AGUGAACGCUGGCGGUAGGCCUAACACAUGCAAGUCGAACGGCAGCACAGUAAGAGCUUGCUCUUACGGGUGGCGAGUGGCGGACGGGUGAGGAAUACAUCGGAAUCUACUUUUUCGUGGGGGAUAACGUAGGGAAACUUACGCUAAUACCGCAUACGACCUACGGGUGAAAGCAGGGGAUCUUCGGACCUUGCGCGAUUGAAUGAGCCGAUGUCGGAUUAGCUAGUUGGCGGGGUAAAGGCCCACCAAGUCGACGAUCCGUAGCUGGUCUGAGAGGAUGAUCGGCCACACUGGAGCUGAGCCACGGUCCAGACUCCUACGGGAGGCAGCAGUCGGGAAUAUUGGACAAUGGGCGCAAGCCUUAUCCAGCCGUACCGCGCGGGUGAAGGAGGCCUUCGGGUUGUAAAGCCCUUUUGUUGGGAAAGAACAGCAGCCGGUUAAUACCCCGCUGUUCUGACGGUACCCAAAGAAUAAGCACCGGCUAACUUCGUG